Long non-coding RNA from Mizuhopecten yessoensis (Yesso scallop), 1250 nucleotides. RefSeq lists it as uncharacterized. NCBI's taxonomy places the organism in Eukaryota, Metazoa, Mollusca, Bivalvia, Pectinida, Pectinidae. The record is from RefSeq and is a predicted model, not a curated record. The transcript has 2 exons.
GUUUGGUUGUGUAUGGUAUACUCUAGUGUUCAUGUACGAGUAGCUUAUAUUAUUUUGUAUACAAACAAACGAACGUUGACUGACGUAAUAAACUUGUUAAUCAAUACUGUGACUGGUCUGUUAGCAAGGGCAUGUUUUACUUAUACAAAUGCAAAACCGCUUCAUACAGUAUCUCCAUGAAAUCAGACAAUGUACACACCAUGUCUAGUUUGGUGGCUGUCAUAUUCAACACGAGUCCAAAGGUCAAAUAAGUGGUCAGGAAUAUUUUGUCAAAGACAUGAUAAUUAAACCAUUGAAGAUUCUCUAACGAGGUAAUAGGUGUAUUGUCAUCAUAUACAGACGGUGCGCACUAUACCGUACUAUGACAACUGACCUGUAUGCCAAGGUCAAAGGUCAACUGAGUGUCUAAUUGCUAAGUUUUGGACGUGUUGUCAAUGCUAACUUUUAUUUAAUUUAUGCAUACAAUACAGUAUGGUUCUUAUUCUUAAACAAUUAGUAUCAUCUUCUUGGAAUGCAACAUAAAAUUGACAAAUAAUCCAAGGUUCAGACAGAAAAUAAACCUUUUGAUCUGUACAACACUGAUCGGAAAAUCGAAUUGAUAAAGAUGUUUUAUAUAACUGGGAUAAGAAAGGGCCUAACUGUCAUUCAUAAUAUUCAUUUCUCAUGCAGUAUUUUCAAGUUCUGAUGAAAAUAUGUCAAUUUAUUUAUUGUUUAAUACACCUUGGUCGAAGGUUGGUAGGAGGGGGUUAUAUAAAGUUGUCCUACUCAUGUCUUGACCAAUGUCCUUUAGAUUAUAAUUUAGCGAACAAAACUUAAAAAAAGAAAUGUAGCAGGGUUUCCUCUUUACAAAUGACAGCCAUGGUUAAAGACGUACACACAGCCAGCCGGCGGAGACAGAAACAAGAAAUCUCCCACAUCAUAAUACCUUCCCAUUUAAUGAAAUUCACAACGAUCAAUUGAGUAAUUGACAUGGUGUGUCUGAAUGCUAGGUAAUUGACAUGGUAUGUCUUGAAUGCUAGGUAAUUGGUCAAAUGAUGUUCAGAGUGUAUAGGAAGAUAACGUUUGAAGUAGAGAUAUAUUUAUUCAAGACCAUAUUCAUCUUUCGUGUUAAUAUUUGUAUAUAACAAUCAUAUUGAAUAGGACAGAGUUAGGAGUUAGACAACAUAUUUUGACAGUGAAUCGCAUGUUAACAUCCUUUAUGUGUGGUGUCAUUCCUUUUGCAUUCAUGUCUACUCAAUCCCUGCUGUUGU